Molecule: long non-coding RNA, 327 nt
Organism: Engraulis encrasicolus (European anchovy)
Lineage: Eukaryota; Metazoa; Chordata; Actinopteri; Clupeiformes; Engraulidae
Exons: 3
Source: RefSeq, a predicted model, not a curated record
AUAAAUGUGUAUCAACUGUAUUGUAGGCUUAUUACUUGAACAAUAAAAUCACAACAACUGCUUAUUUUUCAGCUGUAGGACACAAGUAAGAGGAGAAGAAUGCUGCUCAGCUGGGUCGGCGUCGGCCACACUACUUAUUCAAGAAGCCCUUGGAUAUCAUCGGCAUGUAUGAAGCACAGUCAUUCCGGUAGUCCGUUCCUCGAUGGACGUGAUGACCUGGCACCAAAACCGCUUAAUGUGUACGGAGCUGUGUCUGCAUCGAGGGAAGAACGCGGCACUGAAAUGACACAAAUGAAAGAAGAUUACUUCUGCUCUGCUGGGUCUGUG